RNAcentral lists this long non-coding RNA (600 nucleotides) under Calidris pygmaea (Spoon-billed sandpiper). RNAcentral's name for it is "lncRNA (ENSCPGG00000019491.1)". The record is from RNAcentral. Lineage: Eukaryota; Metazoa; Chordata; Aves; Charadriiformes; Scolopacidae.
CGCCCUUAAGCCAUGCAACAUAAGCAGAGAUGCUCAGCACGGGCUCUGGCACAGGCCUUUAGCAGUACCUUCUAACCGUAGUGCCUUUCCCUGGCAGGGGGACCCUGGGGACCCUGGUGAGGAUGGUAUGAAGGGCACCCGAGGUGAUGCUGGCUCCCCUGGCCUGCCUGGAGAGAGGGGUGUGGAGGGCCCCCGCGGCCCCCCCGGUGCACGGGGUGACCCUGGGGACCGAGGCCUGCCGGGAGAGAAGGUGAGGGGGCUGGGGGCUGGAGGCUGCCCUUUGGUACCCCUGUCGUGCCCCGUGGCUCCAAUCCUUCUGCCCUGCUCUCUUACAGGGGGACCGUGGCCCACCGGGGCUGGAUGGCCGCAAUGGGCUGGAAGGCAAACCUGGGCCCCCGGGUCCCACCGGGCUGCGGGUGAGCUUGGUGGGGGCUGCAGGACAGAGGGGCAGUGGGGAGGGAAGAGCAUCCCCCCCCAGACACCUUCUGCUCUGGGCUGGGGAUGCUCGUGGGGUCCUGUGACAGAGUGGGGAUGUCCCUGCUCUUACCUCCUCCUUGUCCACAGGGGGACCCGGGGAAGCAGGGGGACCCUGGCCGGGAU